GCGCCCAUAGCUCAGAUGGAUAGAGCGUCGGACUACGAAUCCGAAGGUCAGAGGUUCGAUUCCUCUUGGGCGCACCA
This 77-nucleotide transfer RNA is filed under the name Candidatus Rokubacteria bacterium GWC2_70_16. RNAcentral's name for it is "tRNA-Arg". It matches the Rfam family "tRNA". Rfam says of the family: Transfer RNA (tRNA) molecules are approximately 80 nucleotides in length. Their secondary structure includes four short double-helical elements and three loops (D, anti-codon, and T loops). RNAcentral also lists the same sequence under 2 other names. The record is from RNAcentral. Lineage: Bacteria; Candidatus Rokuibacteriota.